AUUGCUUUUCAGCCUUUUGGCUAAGAUCAAGUGUAGUAUCUGUUCUUUUGAGUUUAAUAUCUGAUACGUCCUCUAUAUGAGGACUACAUAUUAAUUUGAUUUUUAGAACAGGGAGACGGAGGAGAAGCUUGCUCCGUCUGCUCCGCAUUGACCUGGUAUUGCAGUACCUCUGGGAGCGGUGCACCUCCU
Molecule: small nuclear RNA, 189 nt
Organism: Pygocentrus nattereri (red-bellied piranha)
Lineage: Eukaryota; Metazoa; Chordata; Actinopteri; Characiformes; Serrasalmidae
Gene: U2
Rfam family: U2 spliceosomal RNA
About the family: U2 is a small nuclear RNA (snRNA) component of the spliceosome (involved in pre-mRNA splicing). Complementary binding between U2 snRNA (in an area lying towards the 5' end but 3' to hairpin I) and the branchpoint sequence (BPS) of the intron results the bulging out of an unpaired adenosine, on the BPS, which initiates a nucleophilic attack at the intronic 5' splice site, thus starting the first of two transesterification reactions that mediate splicing.
Source: Ensembl